AAACACAACAAAACGAAAUUCCCCAAAAAAACAUUGUUUAUUUAGAAUUAAUUAAAUAUUUCAUUUGCAUUUUUAAAGGGGUCAUGAACUGCCUUUUUUGGUACUGUUCUCUAAGGUACACUUAAAAUGUUAUCAAGAUUUUUACAUCAAAAAACAUAAUUUAGAAUGGGCUUUUUAAUGUCCUGUUUUUACCCCUCAUCAAUUAGUUUUUAAACUAACAAGAAAGUGCUUACAUGAUAUUUUUAUAGUGCAAUGACCUCUAAUAUGUCAAAAGAUCAAGGGAAUUUUGUUUUCUAGUUCAUGACCCCUUUAAAAACAGGGGUGAAUUCAAAUAAACCGGGCGUCACUUGACAUUGAUUUACUAGAUUUACCAUAAUAGUCCUGCAUAUCAGUAAAUUCAAUGACUCCCCCGCACACGCACACAGGCACAUUUUCCCAAAAUCUAACAUACUUGGCAAAAACAGUGCAUGGGGAAUUCCUGCUUUGGUUUUCUCAAUACAAACAUUUACUGUAGCCUAUCUAUUAAACCUUAAAAAAAAAAAAAAGUAGAAGUAGAAGUACAGUAAGACACGUAGGCCAAUAUGAUUUAACUUCUGGUGCUGUUUAGUCAUGCAUGACAUCACAGUGUUUACAGACGAUGACGUCACUUGUUUAAAAUUGCUAGUCCUGUUGCUAAAGACAGUCUGGCUGAGAACGAAAGGAAAUCAAAACACCUCCCUUCUACGUACGUUCAUCCGAUCCGCCUUCACCAACUAGACUAUAUAAGACUCCUCAGCAUGAAUCACCGGCACUUUACUACCAACCACUUUAAGAGUUCGCAACAAGAGAGAAGCAAACAAACGACAGGACAACAUGUUUCCAGAGACGGAGUGCGGAAUCUGCUACAGAACUUACAACCUCGGUCAGCGGUGUCCUCGACAGCUGUGCUGCAAACACACGUUUUGCGAGAGCUGCCUGGUGAUGCUCUGGCGCUCCGCGGAGAGCCCUGAACCCCGGAUAAUGUGUCCGCUGUGCCGUCACUCCACGCCGCUGUCGGAGGCGAGGAUCCAAGAGACCCUGCCGGUAGACGAGGACGUUUUUGAGCGGCUUGUCACCGAGGGCUGCGCGGAGGAAUGUGCGGAUGACGACGAAGACACCGAGGAGCCCAAACGGGACACGGUCACCCCACCAAAAGAAGAAGUAUCACCCCCGCCAAGAUCGCGAAAAAGACGCCUGAUGAAACGUUUGAGUCGCCUGUGCCAGAAAUUCACCGGGGAUGCACGGAGAAACUGUAUGACUGAUGAAGACUUGAGGGACCUGGCAAUGAUGUCUUGCUACAUGAUGUGAAAGACAAGAUUUCCAGAAGUGUCACUCAGAUCAUCUGAACGCCAAAAGAUGUAACCACGCGUGAUUUAAGGGAGCAGAUGUAAUCAUUUAAGAAUCAUCUACUGAAAAACAGACGAACGGAACAUUUGGGUGGGUGUGUCCCCUCCAGUGUUUGAGGGUGUCCCGGCCCUGCCUCGAGGUUAUGGAUGGCAGUCCACAAUGGAAACCUUUGGAUAACAUUGAUGUGUUUUUGUGCUGAAGCUGUGGAAAGUCAGCGCCUGGGAAGCACAAGAGGACUGUUUGCUGUUGGGCGUGACUCGUUGCCAUAACAAAAACGUAGGGUUGUUCCAGAGAAACCUAUAAACAACACAACAAAAACAUGUCUUUUGAUUUCCCCUUCUUUUCUUUUUUUUAUGAACCACACUGCCUUACAGAUUAUUUGUUUUAGGCCAGUAUAUUUUUGGUGCUGUUUCUUUUCUGUUACAAAAUCAUGGAGAAUACUCAACCCAUAUCUCCUUUUUAAAUUAUUGUAACUUAAUGAUUUUGAAGAAUUUCUAUGAAAUAUUACUUGUAUUUAUUGUCUAUUAAGUUUAAUUAUAAGUUUUUCAGUGUUACGUUUGUAUCAAAUGAAAGAGACCUAAUUGUAUUUGUCUUUUCAUGAUCACAAAGUAAUUUUAUAUGUAUUUAUAAGUAUUUUACUUUUUUUAAGAAGAAAAUAUAGAAUGACUGUAUGCUAUGUUUGUACCAAAUAAAUGUUUUUAUAAUUUUUAUGACAAGUUUAGCACACUCUCUUUUUUUUUUUUUUUUUUUACUCCGAGGCAGAGUCACAAAUUUUCAUCAUACUUUAAGAACACAUUAAGUAUUUAAGAUUGUGUAUGUGCAAAGUUUUAUGUUCUUAGCUUUGAACACAUUCAGGUGAACCUCGUCAGCGAUCACCAUCAUGCUGAUCAACAAUAUUAGCGGUUCAGUGAGCCCAAAUUAAUAGGGUAAUUUGGACCAGGUGUAACAAAAAGCAUUGUGUGGAACGUAAGCACAAGUGCAUUAGUCCUUAAAACAUGUCUCUUCAAUACUAUCUGAGGUAAGAAUUCAGGCCUUCAAUUUAGCAAUACCAUUCUUAUACUUUAUUCCUUUUUUGUAAUAAUUUAUUGUAAUUUUAAAACGGACUAAUUUUUUAUAGACUGGCUCUGGUUGGUUUGGCUCUUUCUGUUGUGGGAUGUUUGCCUGAAGUAUCAAUAGGUAAGGUGUAGUUUUUAGUCUGAGUAUUUAGAACAGCUGCAUGUGACAAAAGUAGUCAAAACUGUGUUAUUGUCCUUUUUCAUAUAUUCUGCAUAAUGUGUACAAAUAAAUAGGCUUUAAAUUUGCUGCCAUAUGCAUUUAUAAAAUAGCUAAAUACAUUGUUGGUUCAUCACCAAUGCCUUUAGGAGAUGUCACGGAUGAUUCAAAGAUCAAAAUACAAGCUCUGGAAAGUUUCAAAAGUGUUAAUCCACCCAUUCAAAAUCCAAUAAGAGGCAGUCUUCAAAGCAACAGAGAACAGUUUAACAGCAAAUAUCAGCUGCCGUGGAUCAGCUCUGCCUCAUACAACCAGAGAAAUGAUGUCAACUCAGUCUAUUCAGUCCCACAUAAAGUCCAGUCCAAUAUCAGAAAUAAACCUGUUGAAUUAUCAAGCGCCAAAUUUAAUGAUGAAAUUGAUGCCAAAAGAAGCUAUGCUUCCCAAACAGUCCAGCAGGAACAAAAUACUUUAGACGUUAAAGGGAGCCAAAUUAGCUCUAGUAAUAUUAAUUUGGCCCCAAGGCUGGUGAGGAAAAAAGGUGGAAUGCAUGCAGCAUAUGUGCAUAGAUCAGGCUCAUUUGGACAUCAACAUAUUUCUAAAUCAGAAAUGCACUCAGGCAGUUCACAACCAUUAGGACUCAAUGAACCUUAUUUGAAGGAAAAUAUUCCAACUAAUUAUAUGCCUAGAAGCUCAACAGUGAACCACAAUAUGAGGCACAAAAGUAAUGGAAACAUGCUGAUGGAAAAUUUUCUUCAAAACAAUGGCCAGAAUCAAAACAUGCUGAGGAGAGUUGUACCAUCAAAUACAUCUCCCUCAAUUGUAACAGCAAAUCAGCAAAAGAGCCAACCAUUGCCACAAGCUUUUUCUGCUGGGACUGGAAUCAUUUCUCAAAUUUCCUACGAGAAUAUGAGGGACGUAGCUCUUUCAAAGGUGUUCAAAACGCCAAUCCCAACACCAAUAUCACCUGCAUUUAAGAGAUCAAAUUCAAAUGGAGGUCCUAGCAUCCUUCCAUUAAUAAAAUCUCAGAUGUUUUCUUCUCAGCAGGAUCACAUCAAGCUGUCUAAUUCUGAAAGGGUUGCCAAUCCAAAAGCAAAUCUGCAAAGCAGUUUUGAAUUUGGAAAUACAAAUAGCUACAUGCUCGAGAACAUUCAGUCGACACAAAAUGGUUACCAAAAUGGGGGACAAAGUAGUCAGAAUGUUGUGCCCAUUCAAACCUUUCACAAUCAAAAGAAGUAUGAUAAUCUGGCUACAGGUAUAUCUGCCAUCAGGCCUUCAGUCACCAAUAAUGCCCACUCUUACUUCCUAUCAGAUGAAAACAGUGGCAUCCAGAUGUCUGCACUACUCAAACGGUCAAAAGAAAUCACUGACUUGACCCCACGAAUGCAGUUUGGAAAGAACAAAAUGUUAUUUUCAGAACGUGAUACAAAUAUUUAUCUACCAGACCUAACAAAUCAUUCAUUGAGGAAGCCAAGUCAGCAUAAUGCGCAAAAUAGGUCACAUCUGAAUUCCUUCGGCCAAAGUACUGUACAAUCGUUAUCCAUUAAACAUUAUCCUGCGCCAAGUCUUGUGCCAGGUAACACAUUGAAGAGUCAUGUCCACGGCUUUAGUCCAUCUGUGGCUGGGACUCAGGGCGCAUCUAAAAAUUCAGGUACGUCUAGUAGCCGACCAUAUUAUCUAACUUUUAAAAAGCCAUAUGCUUUUAAAGGUUUCACAUUUGUCCCUACAUUGCAGACAUCGCUACAAAAAUCAGAAAUGCACUCUGGCCAAAAGCCCCUCUUAAAGUCUUUAUCUAAUGUGCAAUAUGCCCCUGCUCGUUCACAUACCGCCCAAAGUGCACUCGCUCAAAAACCCUUGAUGCAUAAGAGCUACAAAAAAAUGCUUUUCCAGUUCAAGGACAUUGAAUCAAGCCAAGAAAAACAACUUUAUUGGGAUCAGACAGAUUCUUUUGAUAAUGGACCUAAACGUGAAACCAUCUCUUCUACUGAAGGUGCAAGUAACCUGAUGUCUGAUGCUCUAAAGCACCAUGCUGUUAGAGGUCAAGCUGUAGCAAUGAAAACAUCUCUCAGUGGCACAAAUACUACAAAUAAUGUAGCUGUUGACGAAGUUCAGUCAAAAACAUCUCAGAGGUGGACUUCAAGUAGGCUUACUUCAGCACAGCCCUCUAAAUCUAACAAAGAUGAAUUCCCAACAGGCAGUUUUGUUAGAUCCAACUUAAACAAAGCAUCCAUAAAAUCUAGCAACAGUCAUAACAGUCCCACAUCAGAGCUUAUUCUUCCAAUUCAUAAGUCUUCUCUUAUGAACAAAGUGACUGGGUAUCCUCGAAUACACAAUGCUGCUAUCCAGCCACUUCGCAGGUAUGUUUUGAAGGAACAUGAAGGUGUGUUAAAUCCAACAAAGGAAAUUAAAGAUAGAAAUUCUACUGGAAUAACACAGUCAAAUACUACUGAAAAUUAUAGCCCCAUUAGACUGAGACCGACCAGCAGCUUUGCGAUUGGAAGGCAAGUUAAAGACAAUUCAGACCACCAGAACAUCUAUGCUAUCUCAACCUCUCAAUCUGCAAUUUAUAGAUCUGCUGGCAUUAAUAGUCAAAAAACGGAUGGCUCUACAAAGCUCACUUUCCAGUCACCUAUGCACAGAUCUGCUAUGAAACCUUCUGGCAAAGUUAACAUCCUAAAAGCUAAUGCAGCUUCAGACUGGAGGAACGAAACGUCUCCAAUCUCAGAAGCAGAUAUCAACCUUAGUGCCGUCAGUGUGUCCCAGGCUUUAAGACCCACAACCAAACCCAACCUUAACAUGUCUAUGACAAAAUCAGGCCUAAACAAUUAUAAACCAGUUCAGAUUUCCUAUAUAGCAGGUAGCACCUCCUUCACCGAUGUCAAACCACAUUCUGCUAACACCAAGGCGAAGGAAGAAGUGGAUCUCGAAAGUGAUCAAAACAGCAGUAAUUCAACAUCAGUGAUGGAGGAAAGUUUUAAAGAGCUGGUUUUAGACAGUUCCUCUAUGAUCUCAGCCUUACAAAAUGAAAUGGAUGAAAGUGCAAUGGAUUUACGCGUCCCUGAGCUUAUGCCAACAGCUGCUUAUGAGUCACAGCUGGAGCCUGGGAAUCAUACCACACCUACAGCAGAGGAUAUUGAUCCAUUUUAUGAGGGGACAUUGAUACCCAAUACCACUUUGCAGGACGAAAUGACCUCAAGUUGAGAUCUGCCCGCAUGCAAUCCAAUGGCAGCCGUCCUUAACUGCAAUGUGAGGUGAUUUUCUCUUCUGUAGGUAGAUGGCGCCAGAUCUAUCCUCACAUUAAUUUGCAUUAAAUUUCUGAGUUCUGAGUUUCAUAGUUUGUUCUUUACUUCCCGCUGAUAGUCAUGAUUUUGGAAGAAAAAAUGUGGAUGAUAUUAACCAUUUUUUCCCCAAGCAAUAUAUUCAGAUGUCUUAUAUCAAACCGAAUUUGAAAACAGUAAACCUUGCAUCCAAAUAUAACUUUCUGUUAUUGAAUAUAAAUCAUGAAAUUAGUUUACUGAUGUGAGGAUGGGUUCAGACAUGUGAGCACACUUUGUUUCCAUGCCAAUAAUUUUUUCUCUCUCGAUAUUAUAGUCUCCAAAGUCCAUGGAUUUGAAUUGAGUUUUCUUGAAGUAUCACUGACAAACUGUGAUUUUAAUUAUUCAGGCCAAGCUAUUUAAAACUUAAUCACUUAAUUAUUAUUAUGAGCAGACAUUUUAACGAGGCAAGAGGUCUUUCUUUAGGUCAUUCCUGUUGUGCAGUAACUUUUCAACUCUGGAACUUUUAAGAUAAUUAAUAAUGUGUUGUAAAUUAAGCAAGUAUUUCUAUAAAAGUGAAUACCAGACUUUAAGAAAUAAGCUCUGGUUAAAAUCAGGGACUUAAGCAUUAUUUAUUAUAAUUUGACUAUUUACACAGUGCCAAGAAAAAGAACAGGACUGAAAUAAGGACCACCUUAACAAUACCCAAGAGUAAGUUUAACUGACAAUGUCAACUUGGUUAACUGUGAUAUAAAACAGAAUCAAUCAGAAUUUAUUGCUAAAAUGUACUUACAUGUGUGCUGUUGUUUCCCCACCAAAACAAUUUCACUUCCUUUGGUUUGAUGUCAUUGAGAUGUCACUUGAGACUGGUCUUUUUUGUUUAAAGAGAAAUUAAGUACAUGGGUAAAUAGGCUAUAUUCCCGUGUGAACAUGUUUUGUUGAAACAUUAAAGAAUAAACAAACUGCAACAUCUGCUCCAAGUGGAAAUAUUUAAAAUUCACUACCCCAUUCACUUAAUUGUGAUAUUGUGAUAAAAGACAAUUUAAUAAUGAUAAUAAUCUUUAUUUUCUAUAGC
This is a long non-coding RNA of Cyprinus carpio carpio, 6901 nucleotides long. The record is from Ensembl. Lineage: Eukaryota; Metazoa; Chordata; Actinopteri; Cypriniformes; Cyprinidae.